RNAcentral lists this ribosomal RNA (496 nucleotides) under uncultured bacterium. RNAcentral's name for it is "partial 16S ribosomal RNA". It matches the Rfam family "Bacterial small subunit ribosomal RNA", at positions 29 to 507 of the family's 1533-position model. The record is from RNAcentral.
AUGAACGCUGGCGGCGUGCCUAAUACAUGCAAGUCGAGCGAACAGACGAGGAGCUUGCUCCUCUGACGUUAGCGGCGGACGGGUGAGUAACACGUGGAUAACCUACCUAUAAGACUGGGAUAACUUCGGGAAACCGGAGCUAAUUCCGGAUAAUAUAUUGAACCGCAUGGUUCAAUAGUGAAAGACGGUUUUGCUGUCACUUAUAGAUGGAUCCGCGCCGCAUUAGCUAGUUGGUAAGGUAACGGCUUACCAAGGCAACGAUGCGUAGCCGACCUGAGAGGGUGAUCGGCCACACUGGAACUGAGACACGGUCCAGACUCCUACGGGAGGCAGCAGUAGGGAAUCUUCCGCAAUGGGCGAAAGCCUGACGGAGCAACGCCGCGUGAGUGAUGAAGGUCUUCGGACCGUAAAACUCUGUUAUUAGGGAAGAACAAAUGUGUAAGUAACUAUGCACGUCUUGACGGUACCUAAUCAGAAAGCCACGGCUAACUACGUG